RNAcentral lists this ribosomal RNA (896 nucleotides) under uncultured bacterium. Its description in RNAcentral is "bacterial SSU rRNA". It matches the Rfam family "Bacterial small subunit ribosomal RNA", at positions 8 to 916 of the family's 1533-position model. The record is from RNAcentral.
AGAGUUUGAUCCUGGCUCAGAAUGAACGUUGGGCGGCGUGGAUUAGGCAUGCAAGUCGAACGGGUCCGGUUCGCCGGACCAGUGGCGGAAGGGUGAGUAAGGCGACGGCAACCAACCCCGAGGUCGGGCAUAGCCGCGGGAAACCGCGGGUAAUUCCCGGCGACGCGACGACGUCGGCAUCGACGUUUCGCCAAAGGCUUCGGCCGCCUCGGGACGGGCCGUCGUGGUAUUAGGUAGUUGGCGGGGUCACGGCCCACCAAGCCAUCGAUGCCUACCGGGCGUGCGAGCGCGGCCCGGCACACUGGGACUGAGACACUGCCCAGACUCCUACGGGAGGCUGCAGUCGAGAAUCUUCGGCAAUGGGCGCAAGCCUGACCGAGCGACGCCGCGUGGAGGACGAAGGCCUUCGGGUUGUAAACUCCUGUCGAGGGGGAGGAAGGGGCGACCUUGACCGAUCCCUGGAGGAAGCGCGGGCUAAGUUCGUGCCAGCAGCCGCGGUAAGACGAACCGCGCGAACGUUAUUCGGAAUUACUGGGCUUAAAGCGCGUGUAGGCGGAUCGGAGCGUCGGAUUCUGAAAGCCCCCGGCUCAACCGGGGAAGCGGAGCCGAAACGACCGGUCUGGAGGGACGCAGGGGGAUCUGGAACUUCCGGUGGAGCGGUGAAAUGCGUUGAGAUCGGAAGGAACGCCGGCGGCGAAAGCGAGAUCCUGGACGUCUACUGACGCUGAGGCGCGAAAGCUGGGGGAGCGAACGGGAUUAGAUACCCCGGUAGUCCCAGCCGUAAACGAUGAGCACUGGGCGGGGGGCCCUCCGACGGGCUCCCAGCCGCAGGGAAACCGUGAAGUGCUCCGCCUGGGGAGUAUGGCCGCAAGGCUGAAACUCAAAUGAAUUGACGG